GUGAAUCUGUAGCGCUCGAGGUCGCGCCUGGAAACGCGUUCGAGCACUGAUACCUCACUCAGCGUGUCCAUCCCUCAGCUGAGAAGCCGGCCCCCCUGGGGGCCCCUCCUUCUGGAGGAGCAGGCACGCCGGCGGCCAACCCAACUCUUGUUUUUACACUGAAACUCUGAGAAUAAAACAUAAAUGAAUCAAAACUUUCAACAACGGAUCUCUUGGUUCUGGCAUCGAUGAAGAACGCAGCGAAAUGCGAUAAGUAAUGUGAAUUGCAGAAUUCAGUGAAUCAUCGAAUCUUUGAACGCACAUUGCGCCCUCUGGUAUUCCGGAGGGCAUGCCUGUUCGAGCGUCAUUUCAACCCUCAAGCCUGGCUUGGUGAUGGGGCACUGCCUGUAAAAGGGCAGGCCCUGAAAUUCAGUGGCGAGCUCGCCAGGACCCCGAGCGCAGUAGUUAAACCCUCGCUCUGGAAGGCCCUGGCGGUGCCCUGCCGUUAAACCCCCAACUUCUGAAAAUUUGACCUCGGAUCAGGUAGGAAUACCCGCUGAACUUAAGCAUAUCAAUAAGCGGAGGAA
RNAcentral lists this ribosomal RNA (566 nucleotides) under Phyllosticta papayae. RNAcentral describes it as "eukaryotic LSU rRNA". The stretch from base 193 to 346 matches the Rfam family "5.8S ribosomal RNA". Lineage: Eukaryota; Fungi; Ascomycota; Dothideomycetes; Botryosphaeriales; Phyllostictaceae. The record is from RNAcentral.